This 812-nucleotide long non-coding RNA is filed under the name Homo sapiens (human). Its description in RNAcentral is "DMXL1 divergent transcript". The record is from RNAcentral. Lineage: Eukaryota; Metazoa; Chordata; Mammalia; Primates; Hominidae.
GAGAUUCCUGUGCCAACAUCAUACUGUUCUAGAAUUACUGGAUCUCUUAUGCUAGGGCUGCUGGUCAAACCUGAGUUCCUGAAACCUUUAACCCUACUCAGCCAAUACAACCGAUAACAUUCCUGAAGAGACAGAGUCUUGUUCUGUCGUGCAUGCUGGCGUACAGUGCCACAAUCACAGCUCACCGCAGCUUCCAACUUCUGGACUCACAUGAUCCUUCUGCCUCAGACUUCCAAGUACUUGGGACUACAGUCACGAAUCACCACAGCCAGCUUGGAGUGACUUUCUAAGGGAUUCCAUCCAAGUUACCACAUUAUAUUUGUUAAUCACGUGUUCUUUGGCUUCUCUUGUUUGUGACAGUUUCUCAGACUUCUGUUUUGCUUUGUUCUCAAUAACCUUGACAGUUUUGAGGAGUAGUGAUAAGAAAGUUACUAUGCGCAGACCACUCUUAGGGAGUGAAGAAUUAUGAUGCCCCUCCUUGAGAAUGGAGUACUUACAUAAAUUACUUGGGACUCUUCUGCAUAGGAGGGUCUUGCUCAGGCUGGAGUACACUGGUGCAAUCAUGGCUCCCUGCAGCCUCAACCUCCUGGGAUCAAGCAAUCCUCCCACCUCAGCCUCCCAAGUAGCUGGGACUACAGGUGCAUGCUAUUAUACCCAGCUAAUUUUUUAAAUUUUUUGUAGAGACAAGGUCUCACUAUGUUUCCCAGGCUGGUCUUGAACGCCUGGGCUCAAACAAUUCCCCUACCUUGGUUUCCCAAAGUGCUGGCAUGAGCCACUGUGCCCAGACUCAUUAUUUAUUAAACUAUUUUGUG